Molecule: long non-coding RNA, 525 nt
Organism: Diorhabda sublineata
Lineage: Eukaryota; Metazoa; Arthropoda; Insecta; Coleoptera; Chrysomelidae
Exons: 3
Source: RefSeq, a predicted model, not a curated record
AAACAACUCAACUAUGUCUGCGAAAGUUUGGUUUUGGUGGUGCAUCCUAGCUUUCGCUGCUUUGUUUGGAGUUAAUUGCGGAGGACACGGUGGUGGUCAUCAUGUUGUUAUCAAAAUACCAGAGCACAUCCACACUGUGAAACACACUCACACCAUAUACAAAACGAUACACCACCAUAAAGAUAAAGGAGAUGACUACCAUAGCCACGGUGGCAAACCAUUCCAUUGGCACUGAAGAAAUUUCACAAUUAGUCUAAUUCAAUGAAAAGUAUUCCUAAUUAACCAGUAUAAUCUACCGAGUAUUAUUAUUACUUUAGUUCUAAUUGCAGUUUGAGUUAUUAAUUAACCAUCAAUACACACAUACAGAAGAAAUCGCAUGCGUAAUAAAUAUGAAAUGUACCGUGUAUUGGCGUAAACAACGUUCACAGUUUAGGCAAAAAAAAACUUUUAAUCAAAAUUAGGAUAAGUGAUUGCUUCGUACGAUUUACGAAUAGAAUCAAUUUUCUUUUUUGUUAAAAGUUUAAU